CUGUGGAAUGAGCGGCGGACGGGUGAGUAACACGUGGGCAACCUGCCUGUAAGAUCGGAAUAACUCCGGGAAACCGGGGCUAAUGCCGGGUAAUCCUUUUUCUCGCAUGAGAGAGAGGUAAAAGAUGGCCUUUGGCUAUCACUUACAGAUGGGCCCGCGGCGCAUUAGCUAGUUGGUGAGGUAAUAGCUCACCAAGGCGACGAUGCGUAGCCGACCUGAGAGGGUGRUCGGCCACACUGGGACUGAGACACGGGCCCAGAYUCCUACGGGAGGCAGCAGUAGGGAAUCUUCCGCAAUGGACGAAAGUCUGACGGAGCAACGCCGCGUGAACGAUGAAGGUCUUCGGAUCGUAAAGUUCUGUUGUUAGGGAAGAACAAGUACCGUGCGAAUAGAGCGGUACCUUGACGGUACCUAACGAGGAAGCCCCGGCUAACUACGUGCCAGCAGCCGCGGUAAUACGUAGGGGGCAAGCGUUGUCCGGAAUUAUUGGGCGUAAAGCGCGCGCAGGCGGUUUCUUAAGUCUGAUGUGAAAGCCCACGGCUCAACCGUGGAGGGUCAUUGGAAACUGGGGAACUUGAGGACAGAAGAGGAGAGUGGAAUUCCACGUGUAGCGGUGAAAUGCGUAGAUAUGUGGAGGAACACCAGUGGCGAAGGCGACUCUCUGGUCUGUUUCUGACGCUGAGGUGCGAAAGCGUGGGUAGCAAACAGGAUUAGAUACCCUGGUAGUCCACGCCGUAAACGAUGAGUGCUAGGUGUUAGGGGGCUUCCACCCCUUAGUGCUGAAGUUAACGCAUUAAGCACUCCGCCUGGGGAGUACGGCCGCAAGGCUGAAACUCAAAGGAAUUGACGGGGGCCCGCACAAGCGGUGGAGCAUGUGGUUUAAUUCGAAGCAACGCGAAGAACCUUACCAGGUCUUGACAUCCUUGGACCGCCCUAGAGAUAGGGUCUUCCCUUCGGGGACCAAGUGACAGGUGGUGCAUGGUUGUCGUCAGCUCGUGUCGUGAGAUGUUGGGUUAAGUCCCGCAACGAGCGCAACCCCUAAUCUUAGUUGCCAGCAUUCAGUUGGGCACUCUAAGGUGACUGCCGGUGACAAACCGGAGGAAGGCGGGGAUGACGUCAAAUCAUCAUGCCCCUUAUGACCUGGGCUACACACGUGCUACAAUGGAUGGUAC
RNAcentral lists this ribosomal RNA (1172 nucleotides) under Halobacillus sp. PS22. RNAcentral's name for it is "bacterial SSU rRNA". It matches the Rfam family "Bacterial small subunit ribosomal RNA", at positions 84 to 1240 of the family's 1533-position model. The record is from RNAcentral. Lineage: Bacteria; Bacillati; Bacillota; Bacilli; Caryophanales; Bacillaceae.